This 253-nucleotide ribosomal RNA is filed under the name uncultured bacterium. Its description in RNAcentral is "partial 16S ribosomal RNA". It matches the Rfam family "Bacterial small subunit ribosomal RNA", at positions 524 to 776 of the family's 1533-position model. The record is from RNAcentral.
UACGUAGGUCACGAGCGUUAUCCGGAUUUACUGGGCGUAAAGCGUGUGCAGGCUGUUAGGUAAGUGGUGUAUGAAAGCGCUCGGCUUAACCGGGCGAGGUUAUGCCCGACUGCCUAGCUAGAGGCAGCCAGAGGGACAUGGAAUUCCGGGUGUAGCGGUGAAAUGCGUAGAGAUCCGGAGGAACACCAGAGGCGAAGGCGGUGUCCUAGGGCUGACCUGACGCUCAGACACGAAAGCAUGGGGAGUGAACGGG